This 1340-nucleotide ribosomal RNA is filed under the name uncultured organism. Its description in RNAcentral is "bacterial SSU rRNA". It matches the Rfam family "Bacterial small subunit ribosomal RNA", at positions 123 to 1474 of the family's 1533-position model. The record is from RNAcentral.
AACCUACCUUUAACUGAGGGAUAGCUCCGGGAAACCGGAAUUAAUACCUCAUAACAUCCCAACAUCGCAUGUUGAUGGGAUUAAAACCCUGGUGGUUAAAGAUGGGCAUGCGCAGCAUUAGCUAGUUGGUGAGGUAACGGCUCACCAAGGCGACGAUGCUUAGGGGGUCUGAGAGGAUGAUCCCCCACACUGGUACUGAGACACGGACCAGACUCCUACGGGAGGCAGCAGUGAGGAAUAUUGGGCAAUGGGCGCAAGCCUGACCCAGCCAUGCCGUGUGCAGGAUGACAGUCCUACGGAUUGUAAACUGCUUUUGUAUGGGAAGAAUUUUCUUGAUUCUUCAAGAAUUGACGGUACCGUACGAAUAAGGACCGGCUAACUCCGUGCCAGCAGCCGCGGUAAUACGGAGGGUCCAAGCGUUAUCCGGAUUCACUGGGUUUAAAGCGUGCGUAGGCGGAGUAGUAAGUCGAUGGUGAAAGCCUGCAGCUCAACUGUAGAAUUGCCAUUGAUACUGCUAUUCUUGAGUAUAGUUGAGGGAAAUGGAAUGUGUAAUGUAGCGGUGAAAUGCAUAGAUAUUACGCAGAACACCAAUUGCGAAAGCAGUUUCCUAAACUAUUACUGACGCUCAGGCACGAAAGCGUGGGGAGCGAACAGGAUUAGAUACCCUGGUAGUCCACGCUGUAAACGAUGCUCACUAGCUGUUGGCGAUAUACCGUCAGCGGCUGAGCGAAAGCGUUAAGUGAGCCACCUGGGAAGUACGUCCGCAAGGAUGAAACUCAAAGGAAUUGACGGGGGCCCGCACAACCGGUGGAACAUGUGGUUCAAUUCGAUGCUACGCGAGGAACCUUACCUGGGCUUAAAUGUAGAACGACGUCCCGAGAAAUCGGGAUUCCCUUCGGGGCGGACUACAAGGUGCUGCACGGCUGUCGUCAGCUCGUGCCUUGAGGUAUCGGGUUAAGUCCCUUAACGAGCGCAACCCCUAUUGUUAGUUGCCAUCAGGUAAUGCUGGGGACUCUAGCAAAACUGCCAGCGUAAGCUGGAGGAAGGUGGGGAUGACGUCAAGUCAGCAUGGCCCUUAUGCCCAGGGCUACACACGUGUUACAAUGGCCGGUACAAAGGGCAGCCAUCACGCAAGUGAGAGCUAAUCCCUAAAGUCGGUCUUAGUUCGGAUCGAAGUCUGCAAUUCGACUUCGUGAAGGCGGAAUCGGUAGUAAUCGCGCAUCAGCAACGGCGCGGUGAAUACGUUCCCGGGCCUUGUACACACUGCCCGUCAAGCCAUGGAAGUUGGUGUUGCCUGAAGUCUGUGACCAUCUAGGAGCGGCCUAAGGCAAGACCAAUGA